GUGGCUGUAGUUCUGUUGGUUGCAUAGGAAAGCGCAGCUUUUCUAUGCCGUAGAGAGCGUCAGAUUGUGGUUCUGAAUGUCGUGGGUUCGAGUCCCAUCUGCCACC
Molecule: transfer RNA, 106 nt
Filed under: Bacteroides togonis
Lineage: Bacteria; Pseudomonadati; Bacteroidota; Bacteroidia; Bacteroidales; Bacteroidaceae
Description: tRNA-His
Rfam family: tRNA
About the family: Transfer RNA (tRNA) molecules are approximately 80 nucleotides in length. Their secondary structure includes four short double-helical elements and three loops (D, anti-codon, and T loops). Further hydrogen bonds mediate the characteristic L-shaped molecular structure. tRNAs have two regions of fundamental functional importance: the anti-codon, which is responsible for specific mRNA codon recognition, and the 3' end, to which the tRNAs corresponding amino acid is attached (by aminoacyl-tRNA synthetases). tRNAs cope with the degeneracy of the genetic code in two manners: having more than one tRNA (with a specific anti-codon) for a particular amino acid; and 'wobble' base-pairing, i.e. permitting non-standard base-pairing at the 3rd anti-codon position.
Source: RNAcentral